GUUUUGUUUGCUUCACUCUGUUUGAGAUUUGAAAGGUCUUUUAACAUAGUUAAAGUCUACAAUAAACAGAUAUAUGAAAGAAAAGCAUUCCUUUUCUCUUGUGUCUGGUAGAUGUGCAGUUAUUUCUGGACUAGAAAAAUCAGCUCUUGCCUGCUCAGUUGCUCAAUGGUGUCCAACUCUGCAACUCUGUGGUCUGUAGCCAGCGAGGCUCCCCUGUCUAUGGGGUUCUCCAGACAAGAAUACUAGAGUGGGUUGCCAUGUCCUCCUCCAGGGGAUCUUCCCGACCCAUGAACUGAACCUGUGUCUCCUGAGAUGCCUACAUUGCAGGUGGAUUCUUUACCACUGAGCAACCAGGGAUAUGCUUUUGCCCCCUUAGGAAGGUAUCCAGCUGACUCAAAGGGAGCUGAAAUUUCAUCUUAUCCAUCAGCAAUGCAACAGUAUGGAUGUUAUGAAUAAUUCACAGAUGACUUCCUCAAGUCUUGGAGUUUACUUUGUCAGAGCCUUUUUUUUUUUUUUCCAAUUCUAAUUUCUCUGUUAAAUAACAGGCUUUUAACAACUUGUUUUUUGUUGUAACAUAUGUGAAAACAUUUGUCUUUCAAG
This is a long non-coding RNA of Bos indicus x Bos taurus (hybrid cattle), 600 nucleotides long. The record is from Ensembl. NCBI's taxonomy places the organism in Eukaryota, Metazoa, Chordata, Mammalia, Artiodactyla, Bovidae.